Molecule: long non-coding RNA, 338 nt
Filed under: Populus trichocarpa (black cottonwood)
Lineage: Eukaryota; Viridiplantae; Streptophyta; Magnoliopsida; Malpighiales; Salicaceae
Description: long non-coding RNA (PTRI_LNC000900)
Source: RNAcentral
GAGUAUCUGUGUAUUAUUCGAGGCUGCUGUCUUUAAUGUGAGAUCUCCUUCCUUUUGUUCCUCGGGAGUCGGGAUCGCCACUUUACAUGUUUCAUGCUCCUCCUUUAUUUGUCUACAAGCACCCAGGCAUAUGCUCAGAAGGACCUUCCUUUAUUUGUCUCUCGUGUUUUGCAUCUUCAAGGAUACGAUAACCUCAAUCUGAAAUCAAAUUCCAACUCGAUCGCUGCAAUGUUACUUUACAAGUUAUAUAUCUUAACUACUUAGGUUGAGCCUUCACACCAGCAUGCAUGGCACCGACACCAACUAUAUAUGAUGUCAUCAGGAAAGAAAGAAGGGAC